UACGAAGGUCCCAAGCGUUGUUCGGAAUCACUGGGCGUAAAGGGAGCGUAGGCGGCGUGGUAAGUCAGAUGUGAAAUCCCGGGGCUCAACCCCGGAACUGCAUCCGAUACUGCCAUGCUAGAGGAUUGGAGAGGUAGCUGGAAUUCUUGGUGUAGCAGUGAAAUGCGUAGAGAUCAAGAGGAACACUCGUGGCGAAAGCGAGCUACUGGACAAUUCCUGACGCUGAGGCUCGAAGGCCAGGGCAGCGAAAGGG
This 253-nucleotide ribosomal RNA is filed under the name uncultured bacterium. Its description in RNAcentral is "partial 16S ribosomal RNA". It matches the Rfam family "Bacterial small subunit ribosomal RNA", at positions 524 to 776 of the family's 1533-position model. The record is from RNAcentral.